UCUCCUGCGGCAGAACCGCCCCUCUCAGCUGUGUAGCGCACCUGACGUGAACCUUUUAAUAUGGCACCUGCGGGGGUCACCGGCAUCGCCUUGCUCAGGGAAUUGUUUGGGUGUUCAUGUUGCUACUCGCGUUCGCCCUGUGAUUGUUAGCUUUCACAAGCAGGUUGUUUGCUUCCUUCACGGAGUUUUCCCGUGCAGUCACGUCUACCUGCGCAACGGCAGGCAACUGUCCAGCUCUUUAUCCUCCACUGCCACACUGGACUCGGGAACCUUUUUUCCGGCCUCGCUUAAGUCCGUUCUGGUGCAGCGCGUUCAAUCACUGUUUUUCCCCUACUAUAAAAAAAGCCACUGAAGGCGUCACAGCGUACCCCAAGGUCACUAUUUUGUUUCAAUGUGCAAACUGUGUUGCCUCUGCUAUUAUAAGGUCGUACUGUCCCAUUCUCUCUGUGUCAGAGGCACUGUUCGCCGGUUGUAGCGUAUAGGCCUGGCCCUUCUUGAACCCCCCCCCUCCCCUCCAUUUAAUGUGCUCAGCGUCAGAGUGCCCAUUGUGGGGUGUAUCACCAGGUUGUGCUAAGACAUCUUACUUGUUCCAGUAGUGUGCCCUAUAGUGGGGUGUAUCACCAUAGCGUGCUAAGACACCUUAAUUGUUCGUCCGUUAGGUGACGCUGACUCCCCCAUCAGACCCCCUCCCCCC
This is a long non-coding RNA of Clupea harengus (Atlantic herring), 694 nucleotides long. RefSeq lists it as uncharacterized. NCBI's taxonomy places the organism in Eukaryota, Metazoa, Chordata, Actinopteri, Clupeiformes, Clupeidae. The record is from RefSeq and is a predicted model, not a curated record. The transcript is spliced from 3 exons.